UACUAGAGUAGCACUCGCAUAUCAAUAAGCGGAGGAAAAGAAACUAACAAGGAUUCCCCUUAGUAACGGCGAGUGAAGCGGGAAGAGCUCAAAUUUGAAAUCUUAAAGGGUUUCCCUUUACGAAUUGUAGUUUAAAGAAGUGUUUUCUGUUGAGGUUUUGGUAAAAGUUCUUUGGAAUAGGACAUCAUAGAGGGUGAGAAUCCCGUAUUUGACCUUUACUUUCAACUUUGUGAUACACUUUCAAAGAGUCGGAUUGUUUGGGAAUGCAGUCCAAAAUGGGUGGUAAAUUUCAUCUAAAGCUAAAUAUUGGCGAGAGACCGAUAGCGAACAAGUACCGUGAGGGAAAGAUGAAAAGAACUUUGAAAAGAGAGUUAAACAGUACGUGAAAUUGUCAAAAGGGAAGCGUUUGACACCAGUGUUGUUUUUCUGAAAAUCAAUUAAAGAACUGUUUAUGCUAAGUUGUUUAGACUUUAUCAGCUAUCUGUUUAGUUUUGAGCUUUUCUUUAAUGCACUUUUCAGUUAACAAGUCAACAUCAAUUUCUUUUGCUGUAAAAAAGCUUGAGGAAGGUGGCUUGAGAUUCGUCUUAAGUGUUUAUAGCCUCUUGCCUAUGCAGUCGGAGAGAUUGAGGUCUACAGGCGUAGAUCCUUCGGGGCUAAAUGCAUUUGUGCUAAGUUAUAGCAUUUUAUAGACAACUUGUUGACUAUGAUUUGUCUUGUAGCUUACUCGCUUAUGUUAUUUUACCUACGCUUAGGAUGUUGAGCGCAUGUCUCUCUCU
Molecule: ribosomal RNA, 776 nt
Filed under: uncultured Neocallimastigales
Lineage: Eukaryota; Fungi; Neocallimastigomycota; Neocallimastigomycetes; Neocallimastigales
Description: partial large subunit ribosomal RNA
Rfam family: Eukaryotic large subunit ribosomal RNA
Source: RNAcentral